Non-coding RNA from Paramormyrops kingsleyae, 508 nucleotides. The record is from RefSeq and is a predicted model, not a curated record. Lineage: Eukaryota; Metazoa; Chordata; Actinopteri; Osteoglossiformes; Mormyridae.
CAAUGAAAGAUGUGUCGUUGUUACUCCUGAGGACAUCUGACACCUCUAAAAAGGCAGCCUGAAGAAGAGCCAAGAUCCAUUUUCCCACACGGUCCAUCCAAAGAGCCCCGUGUUAGUGUGUGUUCAACAGUCAAGGGCCAGAAAAGGAAAAGAGGUGGGCAGGUCACGUCUGCAGCCCAGUGCCCAGAAGAAAGCAGGGUGAGCCAGUCUCUGGAGCAAUUGGGGGCUUAAGGGGCUCCCAACGGUGAGAUCAGUCUGCUGAACCUGGGAUGUGAACCUUCCAAUCUGAGGUACAACACCAAACCCGCUGAUUCGCACCCCCACCCCGAUUCCAAAUUCUAAUCAUGCGCUCAAGGGGCCUCGGCUCACUCUGGGCGACACACAAACACUGCAGAAGACGAGCAGCAGGGGGAGCCGCACCUGGUCGGGUCUGCCUGCAGUCGGCCCUGGCUGUCACGCUCCAUGGAAGACCAGCAAUCAUCGAUAUUGAUAUAGACGUAUCCCAGCU